This 468-nucleotide ribosomal RNA is filed under the name uncultured bacterium. Its description in RNAcentral is "partial 16S ribosomal RNA". It matches the Rfam family "Bacterial small subunit ribosomal RNA", at positions 28 to 507 of the family's 1533-position model. The record is from RNAcentral.
GACGAACGCUGGCGGCGUGCUUAACACAUGCAAGUCGAACGGAAAGGCCCUGCUUUUGUGGGGUGCUCGAGUGGCGAACGGGUGAGUAACACGUGAGUAACCUGCCCUUGACUUUGGGAUAACUUCAGGAAACUGGGGCUAAUACCGGAUAGGAGCUCCUGCUGCAUGGUGGGGGUUGGAAAGUUUCGGCGGUUGGGGAUGGACUCGCGGCUUAUCAGCUUGUUGGUGGGGUAGUGGCUUACCAAGGCUUUGACGGGUAGCCGGCCUGAGAGGGUGAACGGCCACAUUGGGCCUGAGAUACGGCGCAGACUCCUAUGGGAGGCAGCAGUGGGGAAUAUUGCACAAUGGGCGGAAGCCUGAUGCAGCAACGCCGCGUGCGGGAUGACGGCCUUCGGGUUGUAAACCGCUUUCGCCUGUGACGAAGCGUGAGUGACGGUAAUGGGUAAAGAAGCACCGGCUAACUACGUG